UACGUAGGUCCCGAGCGUUGUCCGGAUUUAUUGGGCGUAAAGCGAGCGCAGGUGGUUUAAUAAGUCUGAUGUAAAAGGCAGUGGCUCAACCAUUGUGUGCAUUGGAAACUGUUAGACUUGAGUGCAGUAGAGGAGAGUGGAAUUCCAUGUGUAGCGGUGAAAUACGUAGAUAUCUGGAAGAACACCAGUGGCGAAGGCGGCUACUUGGUUCGCAACUGACGCUGAGGCGCGAAAGCGUGGGGAGCAAACAGG
RNAcentral lists this ribosomal RNA (252 nucleotides) under uncultured microorganism. Its description in RNAcentral is "partial 16S ribosomal RNA". It matches the Rfam family "Bacterial small subunit ribosomal RNA", at positions 524 to 776 of the family's 1533-position model. The record is from RNAcentral.